Molecule: long non-coding RNA, 371 nt
Filed under: Bos taurus (domestic cattle)
Lineage: Eukaryota; Metazoa; Chordata; Mammalia; Artiodactyla; Bovidae
Description: long non-coding RNA NONBTAT007555
Source: RNAcentral
AAUUAAGCACUUUGGGUUCCCAAAGCCAUUAAAUCUCAUUUCCUGGGAGAAAGAAUAACUGUCUUUUCUGUCUCCUGUGCCUGUUUCAUUUUCACAGUUUCAGUGCAUCUAAGAUCUAACAUGUCAGAUGAUCAGUGUCUUUCUUCAGUUUCCUACAGAGUGGCUGUGCUUGAGACAGGUGUCCAGGAGAGAUUGUGUGGGGAUGCACUGGAGGGAUCUGACCUUGGAGGUUGCAUUUCAGAUUCUCCUGAUGGCUAGGGAGACAGUUCUAGGGGUCUUGUAGGCAUAACUCUGUACUUACUCACUAAAAAGUAAACUAGAAGUUCAAGUCUUCCUUCCUUCCUGAGAGACAGUGUUUGUUGAAAUACUGA